AAAUUGAAGAGUUUGAUCAUGGCUCAGAUUGAACGCUGGCGGCAGGCCUAACACAUGCAAGUCGAACGGUAACAGGAAGCAGCUUGCUGCUUUGCUGACGAGUGGCGGACGGGUGAGUAAUGUCUGGGAAACUGCCUGAUGGAGGGGGAUAACUACUGGAAACGGUGGCUAAUACCGCAUAACGUCGCAAGACCAAAGAGGGGGACCUUCGGGCCUCUUGCCAUCAGAUGUGCCCAGAUGGGAUUAGCUUGUUGGUGAGGUAACGGCUCACCAAGGCGACGAUCCCUAGCUGGUCUGAGAGGAUGACCAGCCACACUGGAACUGAGACACGGUCCAGACUCCUACGGGAGGCAGCAGUGGGGAAUAUUGCACAAUGGGCGCAAGCCUGAUGCAGCCAUGCCGCGUGUAUGAAGAAGGCCUUCGGGUUGUAAAGUACUUUCAGCGGGGAGGAAGGUGUUGUGGUUAAUAACCACAGCAAUUGACGUUACCCGCAGAAGAAGCACCGGCUAACUCCGUGCCAGCAGCCGCGGUAAUACGGAGGGUGCAAGCGUUAAUCGGAAUUACUGGGCGUAAAGCGCACGCAGGCGGUCUGUCAAGUCGGAUGUGAAAUCCCCGGGCUCAACCUGGGAACUGCAUUCGAAACUGGCAGGCUUGAGUCUUGUAGAGGGGGGUAGAAUUCCAGGUGUAGCGGUGAAAUGCGUAGAGAUCUGGAGGAAUACCGGUGGCGAAGGCGGCC
Molecule: ribosomal RNA, 736 nt
Filed under: Salmonella enterica subsp. enterica serovar Braenderup
Lineage: Bacteria; Pseudomonadati; Pseudomonadota; Gammaproteobacteria; Enterobacterales; Enterobacteriaceae
Description: bacterial SSU rRNA
Rfam family: Bacterial small subunit ribosomal RNA
Source: RNAcentral